Molecule: long non-coding RNA, 113 nt
Organism: Bufo bufo (common toad)
Lineage: Eukaryota; Metazoa; Chordata; Amphibia; Anura; Bufonidae
Exons: 3
Source: RefSeq, a predicted model, not a curated record
CUUGCAGGAGCAGAAUCUGGCAGAACAAAACUUCAUAUUCUCACUGCUUCUGAAAAUAAAAGCUCCACAAAAGUUAUGUUUGUACCGCUCUCCCCAGCCCCCAUGCGGACAGA